RNAcentral lists this transfer RNA (72 nucleotides) under Ovis aries (sheep). It matches the Rfam family "tRNA". From Rfam's summary of the family: Transfer RNA (tRNA) molecules are approximately 80 nucleotides in length. Their secondary structure includes four short double-helical elements and three loops (D, anti-codon, and T loops). The record is from Rfam by way of RNAcentral. Lineage: Eukaryota; Metazoa; Chordata; Mammalia; Artiodactyla; Bovidae.
UCCCUGGUGGCUCAGAUGGUAAAGCCUCUGCCUGCAAUGUGGGAGACCCGGGUUCGAUUCCUGGGUCGGGAA